Molecule: small RNA, 79 nt
Filed under: Ancylobacter novellus DSM 506
Lineage: Bacteria; Pseudomonadati; Pseudomonadota; Alphaproteobacteria; Hyphomicrobiales; Xanthobacteraceae
Description: Starkeya novella DSM 506 Makes More Granules Regulator RNA (mmgR)
Rfam family: Makes More Granules Regulator RNA (mmgR)
About the family: SuhB later renamed mmgR (makes more granules regulator) was a putative non-coding RNA found multiple times in the Agrobacterium tumefaciens genome and related alpha-proteobacteria. Other non-coding RNAs uncovered in the same analysis include: speF, ybhL, metA, and serC.
Source: Rfam by way of RNAcentral
GCCGCUCGCCCUCCUUGGGCGUUUCCUCCCUAGACUUGGGCCGCUGCCGAAAGGCUAGCGGCCCCUUUCUUUUUCAGCG